UGGGGAAUUUUGCACAAUGGGGGAAACCCUGAUGCAGCGACGCCGCGUGAUUUAGAUGGCCUUCGGGUUGUAAAAAUCUUUUUUACGGGAUGAAAAUGACAGUACCGUAAGAAUAAGGUCCGGCUAAAUACGUGCCAGCAGCCGCGGUAAUACGUAUGGACCGAGCGUUGUCCGGAAUCAUUGGGCGUAAAGGGUACGUAGGCGGCCUAGUAAGUUAGAAGUGAAAUAAUAUAGCUCAACUAUAUAAAGCUUUUAAAACUGCUAGGCUUGAGAGAUGGAAGGGAAAGUGGAAUUCCUAGUGUAGCGGUGAAAUGCGCAGAUAUUAGGAAGAAUACCGGUGGCGAAGGCGACUUUCUGGUCAUCAUCUGACGCUGAGGUACGAAAGCGUGGGUAGCAAACAGG
This 402-nucleotide ribosomal RNA is filed under the name bacterium. RNAcentral's name for it is "partial 16S ribosomal RNA". It matches the Rfam family "Bacterial small subunit ribosomal RNA", at positions 355 to 776 of the family's 1533-position model. The record is from RNAcentral.